GGGAAUUAUGUUGUUGGAUACUAAUGGACAUAUGAUUCACGCCAUAACAUCAAGAUGGCGUGAAUCAUAUGCCCAUUAGUAUCCAAGAUGGCGUGAAUCAUAGA
This is a non-coding RNA of Podarcis lilfordi (Lilford's wall lizard), 104 nucleotides long. Lineage: Eukaryota; Metazoa; Chordata; Lepidosauria; Squamata; Lacertidae. The record is from the annotation of a GenBank genome assembly.